AAGGGAGACCUAAUUCGGGUAUAAGACGAAAAAAGAGUAGUCGAAACCAAGAAUCAAUCCCAAAAGGUCGGAACGAGGUAUGUGGCUUUCAAACUAGGUUCUGGGUUCACACAAGACCUGAAUCAGGAACAAGGGCUAUUAGCUCAGGUGGUUAGAGCGCACCCCUGAUAAGGGCGAGGUCCCUGGUUCGAGUCCAGGAUGGCCCACCUGCACAGGUGGCAAAAACAAAGAAGCGAGGAAUCAGCACCUUAUCUUACUUAUAUAGUAAGAGAGAAUGCUGGCUCUGAGUAAAGAGUCCAGAGGAACCUUGAAAACUGCAUAGAGCUAGGUGAAAAAGCCAAAAAAGAAGACCGCAA
Molecule: transfer RNA, 356 nt
Filed under: Microcystis aeruginosa MP07H7
Lineage: Bacteria; Bacillati; Cyanobacteriota; Cyanophyceae; Chroococcales; Microcystaceae
Description: partial 16S-23S ribosomal RNA intergenic spacer
Rfam family: tRNA (bases 133-206)
Source: RNAcentral